GACGAACGCUGGCGGCGUGCUUAACACAUGCAAGUCGAACGGAAAGGCCCUGCUUUUGUGGGGUGCUCGAGUGGCGAAAGGGUGAGUAACACGUUAGUAACCUGCCCUUGACUUUGGGAUAACUUCAGGAAACUGGGGCUAAUAACGGAUAGGAGCUCCUGCUGCAUGGUGGGGGUUGGAAAGUUUCGGCGGUUGGGGAUGGACUCGCGGCUUAUCAGCUUGUUGGUGGGGUAGUGGCUUACCAAGGCUUUGACGGGUAGCCGGCCUGAGAGGGUGACCGGCCACAUUGGGACUGAGAUACGGCCCAGACUCCUACGGGAGGCAGCAGUGGGGAAUAUUGCACAAUGGGCGGAAGCCUUAUGCAGCAACGCCGCGUGCGGGAUGACGGCCUUCGGGUUGUAAACCGCUUUCGCCUGUGACGAAGCGUGAGGGACGGUAAUGGGUAAAGAAGCACCGGCUAACUACGUG
Molecule: ribosomal RNA, 468 nt
Filed under: uncultured bacterium
Lineage: Bacteria
Description: partial 16S ribosomal RNA
Rfam family: Bacterial small subunit ribosomal RNA
Source: RNAcentral